GUAUUUGCUAAUUCAGUGUUCUCGGUGACUUUACAGAACAUGACAACAAGGAAUAAUGAGGAUCAGUUUUAUUUCUGGCACCACUGGGUGGGAUUCAGUACAUACUUCUCCAUAGAAACAUAAUUAUAUUUAUUGCCACUUUUUAAAGGUAUUUGUUCAAAUAGAAGUAUUUGUUAGCCUAUGUAAUUUCCAUAUUAAUGUCUGUACAACUGUCUCAAACGUUUGCUUAAAUCGCCAUUUCUAUUAAUUAUGCAUGAAUUAUGACUUUUCAUAAUUCUUGCACUUAGGAACUAGACAUAGACAGCACUUCAGCACUCUGUGGGCCAUUUUAAGCAGUGGAAUUACCAACAAAAAGCACAAAACUGCAAGAAACAUGGCAGUGGGAAAAAAAAAACCCGGAAAGGACCUUACAGUUGUUUACAGUGUGAAAGCUGAAACAAGAAGGCAAAGCAAGGCCAGGCAUGGUUGUGCAUGCCUAUAAUCCCAGUGAGCACAGUGCAUGGACUGGGAUGGAAAUGCAAAGUACAAGAGUGUCUGGCACACAGUAGGAGCUUCAUAAGAACGUCUUAACAUUGGAUAAGUCUAACUCUUAAAGCUUCCAAAGGAAAUUCAUAUUAAAAUGGCAGAUUGAUCACAUAUCUAAUUUUGUUCCCUCCCCAAACCCAACUAACACAACACUAAAGGUAUUCAAAACAAAACCAAGCCCUAAACCCUCAGGAUCCCACAAGGAUAGAUAGGGAAGACAGGAAAGAGGACAACAGCAACAUAAUUUUGGGAUACAGAAAAAUCAAUGGUAACUGACUUAAAUGAACUAAGAAAGCCAAAUCCCUAGCCAGCAGUGAGAAAAGCUGAACAAACUUCAUUUAUGCUACAUGCUCAGAUGUUAAGGUGAAGUGGGGUGGCCCAAAGAAGGAGAAACAGGGUGAAAGUAUCUUUGAGAAGUUAAGAUUCCCAGAUAGUCCUCCUCACUGUAUGCCUCUCAGUAACUGUCCCUCUCUUUGGACUGAGAGACACCAAGCCAGUCAAAAGCACAUCUGAAGCUAUGGGCACCCUGUAACAAAUAGGUCAAUGAAGUGGGAGUGCCGCUGAGUCUUCCCUCACUAGGAUCCACCGAGAAAUUUCAGUGUGCAGACAUACUCUUUAGGCAGGAGUUUGGAAGAUUUUCCCGAGAAUCUCAUUAGCUACAAAGCAAAAAGUUGCAGAUACACUAAUAUGCAGGUUACUCCACAAAUGGCACACCUGAUUACUCUCCCAUGAUGCCUCAGCAGACAAGCCUCGCCACGCUUUCAGAGGUUCCAGUCAACUCUGUAUUAUCUUAAUCUUGAUCAUGAGCAAAUAAUCAAGUAUUAUCAGAAAUCUGAAGAAAGCCUUUAACAUGGAAGAUAGACAGCUAAACAAGCAUGCAAAAAGCAAUCUGGAACAAGUAAAAACUAUAUAGGGAGAAGGAAACUUGACCAAAAAACAAAAGAUGAAAACAUACAAUUAAGCCCAAAAUUGCAAGUGUGGAAUAACAGGAUGCACAAAAAGAAAAAAAAAAAAGACAUUCAAAGAACAUAAAAAGAGAUGUUAGAAAAUAAACAUAUGAUGACAGAGACAAAAAUAUUCUAUUGAAAGGUGGGAAAAUAAAAGUUAAAAUCUCACAGACAACAGAGCAAAAGGACCAAGAGGGAAAGAGCAAAGUUUAAAAAAAUCAGAGACCCAGUUCCAUAGGCCUAACAUCCAAUUAACAGGAGUUACAGAAAGACAGAACAGAGAAUGGUGAAGGAAAGGAAGUUAUCAAUAAAAUAAUUUGAGAUAACUUCCUAGAACUGAAAAACAUCAGUUGCCAGAAUGGAGUGUCCACCCAAUGCCAGCAUAAUACAUGAAAGUCAACCCACACCCGAGGCACACCACUGGGAAACCUCAGAAACCUGAUGACAAAGAGAAGAUUCCAUAUGCUGCUUUUAGCAGAGAGAGAAACACAGAAAACAAAACAGGAUCAGGAAUCACAUGGCUCUGGACAUCACAAAAGGAACACUGGAAACAAGAAGCCAACAGAACAAUUCCUGCGAAAUCCUCUAGAGAAAGAGCUCCAGCAUAGAAGGCUAUACUUAGCCAAGGAAGGAAUCAUGUGUGAGUAGAACAAAGUUAUCUUUGGGGGUGUAAGGCCACAAAAAUCUAUCCUCCAUGCUCCCCUUUUUGAAGAGCUACUACAGAAUAUACUUCACACCAAAGUAAAGUGUAAUUCCAUAAAAAGGUAAGCACGGGGGCUGGGCGCAGUGGCUCAUGCCUGUAAUCCCAGCACUUUGGGAGGCUGAGGCGGGUGGAUCACAAGGUCAAGAGAUCAAGACCAUCCUGGCCAACAGGGUGAAAUCCCGUCUCUACUAAAAAUACAAAAAUUAGCCAGGCACGGUGGUGGGCACCUGUAGUCCGAGCUACUUGGGAGGCCGAGGCAGGAGAAUCACAUAAACCCAGGCAGCGGAGGUUGCAGUGAGCCGAGAUUAUGCCACUGCACAACAGCCUGGAGACAGAGCGAGACUCCAUCUCAAAAAAAAAAAAAAAAAAAAAAAGGUAAGCACAGAAUACAGGCCAUGAGUUAUAUGGCCAUGCUGAUCCUAUGAAACCCAACAGAGAAGAGGGAUAUCAAGGAAACCCCUGGAAGGACGGCAAAGGGCCCAGGACAACAACUGUGAGUUGGCCAUUAAGAGCAUCCAGGCCUUAUUCAAGCAAUGUGGCUUCAGGGACAAGUCAUGUUCACAGAAUCAUCACCAAGAUCCCUGCCACCACUGCCUACUUUAACCUGAGGACAGAAUACCUGGAUGAGAAUUCUCAUUUAAGAUUUCACCUUAAUCCGUGUUGAAGUUUACUGUACAGAAAAGCCCUCAAUUGACAAACACUGUACUUUAAAUUUGGAAAGUUUUUCUACAAAGGUGCACCAUCAUUUUUAACUAAUGUUCCAAAGACAAAAGACAGUUUGAGUUCUGAUAAGGAGGAAAAAAAACCCCAUAUACCUGGCUUUUGCCACCUUCACUCCUUCUUCAUAAAAAAGAAAGUUGUUUAAUUCCUUUUAUGGAAUUGAUUCUGCAUGGACAAUAUUAAAAGACCAAAACAACGUACUCCACUAUGAAAAUGGCUGAGUAUGAAAGAUUAUACAGGCCAGGCAGAUUACUUGAAGAAAGAAUGCCAAUAUUCAGCUAUUUGAGAACCCAAAUUUGCAGUGUUAAACAACCAUGUAUGUAAAUAAACUUUCCUGCUAUAUUACCAUUUCCCUAAAAACUGCAUUUUUAUAAGCAGGUCUAUACUGGAAGAACAAUCCUGUAAUAGCUCAGUACUCCUAAGAAUGUUAACCAACAUCUCAAAUAACUUAAAUUGAUGUGAUCAACUUAAUGUCUUAUCAAUUUUUUCCUUACAAAUAGUGAUGUUUACCAUACAGCAAACAAGGUCAAACAACUGACUUCUAAAGUUCAGAAAGUGAUAACCUACUGGCUAGAUAUUAAAGCAGUCAAAAUAUGAGAAAGAGUUGUAUAAACUCACUUCAUUAAGUUCUGGUUUCCAAGAGCUAUUUAUUUUUGAGUUCUCAUGUAAGCUACACUGCAGAGGGACACUGUUGGGCCGGUGCACAUUUAUUAUUUAUUUAUUUCAUUUAUUUAUUUAUUUUUUUGAGAUGGAGUCUCACUCUGUUGCCCAGGCUGGAGUGCAGUGGCAAGAUCUCAGCUCACUGCAACCUCCACCUCCCGGGUUCAAGCGAUUCUCCUGCCUUAGCCUCCCGAGUAGCUGGGAUUACAGGUCUGUGCCACCACACCUGGCUAAUUUUUGAAUUUUUAGUAGAGAUGGGGUUUCACCAUGCUGGUCAGGCUGGUCACGAACUCCUGACCUCGUGAUCCGCCUGUCUUGGCUUCCCAAUGUGCUGGGAUUACAGGUGUAAGCCACUGCACGCAGCCCACAUUUAUUAUUUUAAGUUUAUGUUUUUAGGAUCAAUUUGAUACAACAUUCAAACCGGAUUAUUGGGUGUAUUUUGUACAGAAUCCUAUUAAAACCUCCAUUUAAACACUGCGUUAUAUAUAGUAGAGCAAAGGAAGCGAUCAAAAACACACAAUCACCAAUUCUCUGAGGCCACCUAUCACUAAGCUCCAUCAUUAUGUUUUACAAUGACUAGAUAAAAAGGAUUUCAGAUUCAAACAAUUGUACUUAGGUUUAUUAUCAGGCUAGCCAAAUACAUAAACUGGCCCAGAGAAUUAUCUUCCCCAGUCCCCCUCUUCUUUCUAUAUGUUACUAGUUCUUAAAAUUUCCAGGAUAGAAAUUUCAUUUACAAACAGAAUCUAAUUUGCUUAAGAAAAUGAAAAGACUAGUUACCAAAUGGGAGAAAACCUCUGCAAAAAUCUGAUACAGGACUGAUAUCCAAAAUAUACAAAGAACUCUUAAAACUCAACAAUAAGAAAACAAACCAAUUAAAAAAGUCAAAAAGAUCUGACCAGACACCUCACCAAAGAUACACAGAUGGCAAAUAAGCAUAUGAAAAGAUGGUUAACAUCAUGUAUCAUCAAGAAACUGCAAAUUAAAGUAACAGUGAGAUACUACUACACACCUAUUAGAAUGGCUAAAACCCAAAACAUUUAUAACACCAGAUGAUGGCAAAGAUGUGGAACAACAGGAACUGUUGGUGAGAAUGCAAAAUGGUACAGCCACUUUACAAGACAGUUUGGCAGUUUCUCACAAAACUAAACAUACUCUUACCAUAUGAUCCAGCAAUUGCGCUCCUUGGUAUUUACCCAAAUGACUUGAAAACUUAUGUCUACACAAAACCUGUACACAAAUGUUUAUAGCAGUUUUAUUCAUAAUUACCAAAACUUGGCUACAAAAAGACAUAGAGGAACUUAAAUGCAUACUGCUAAGUUUAAGAUGCCAAUCUGAAAGGCUACAUUAUUGGGUGAUUCCAACUACUAUAUGACAUCCUGGAAAAGGCAAAACAAUAGAGACAGCAGAAAGAGCAGUGGUUGCCAGGAGUUUGCAGGGGGGGAGAAAUGAUGGUGACAGAGGCAGGGAGGGAAGGAUGAAGAGGCAGAGGCAGAGCACAGGGGAUGUCUAAGGCAGUGAAACUGUUCUUUAUGAUACUGUAAUUGUAGAUACAUGUCACUGUAAAUUGUCAAAACCCACAGAGCACAACACUAAGAGUGACCUUCAGUUGUUAAUAAUGUAUCAAUACUGGCCCAUCAAUUGUUAAUAUACCAUACCAAUGCAAGACGUUAAUGGGCGGGGGCAGGGGUGGGGAGAGAGGGGGAGGGGCGGAUAACAGGGUAUGUGAGAACUCUGUACUUUCUGCUCAGUUUUUCUAUAAACCUAAAACUGCUCUAAAAAAUAAAGUCUAGUAAAAACAUCUAAUUUGCCAGUUUAAGAAGUCCUAUUCUUCCUUCCGCAGUUUGAUCUUAAUGCUGGCUAGUUUACUAACCAAUAUUUAAUACUAAAACAUGACAUUUUGUAUCUUAGCUUUCAUGCCCAACUCCCACUCCCUACCACCUGACAGGGCAACAGAAUGGUUACAAUUCUCUAGCUGAAAACACAGGCGUUAUAACACUGACAUUCAUUGUCAAAGCCAACGUAACCAAGCGUGGCUCUCUGCCAUUCUAAACUAGAAUCCAUACUGUACUUAUCUGGUAUAAAAUAUUUUUCUCCUAGAGGAUCUAUAUAGAAAGUCCUUCGAUUAGUUAAAUUUAUAAAGUCAUUUCAAAGUAAUGCUCAUAUUAAAUAACCUACUGUUACUUUUCUAAAUUAUUGCCUGCCAUCCAUCCAAACAUAUGUCUCUACAGAUAAGUCAGCAAAGUAUACUUUAGUUUGCUGUAUGAGUCUUCUAUUUUAUAUAGCUUCUCUGGUGUUCUACCCUCCUUUCAAAAUUCUGAAUACAAUUCUGACAUACUUCAACAGUUGAAAACAUUUUCUCUAUAAGUUCCUGCAGCUCAAUCAAGCAUUUGCUUCCAUUAAAAAAAAAAUACAACACUCAUUCACCUGAAGAACAGGGUUGAUACUAAAUUGUAGAUUUGUUGCUACCUAUCUACCUAGCAAACUGUGUAACAAAAAAGUCAGUGUGCAGCAUAGCAAUACAUUUAUUUUUGAAUAUUCCUAAUAGUUUUCAUUUACAAGCUUGUUGCAGGAAAUGACUAUAGUUAUUUUACCAUCCCUCACAUCCUAAAGUGGCAUGUUUUUUGAGCCAAAGUUUCACAAAGGAAGAAAGCAGGCCAUCCUAGGAAAGGAGAGAAGUAACACCUGCUGAACAGGUCAUUAACGCCACAUUUUUGCACAAUGUGGGGAUGGUACUGGAUUUUUACUGAAAUUGCUGAGACUGGGCUGGUUAUCACCAAUCCCUCCUAUCUUGAUUAACUGCUGUGUCUCUUCAUCACUUCUAGGGAUUCACACUGUAGAGACAGCAUUAGGAUCGACAGCUGUAAGACUCGUAAUUAAUGUAAGACUUUAUGUAAAUUCCAGUACCAUACAUACUCUUCAUAAAGAAUUUUCCAAAAUACUGGGCUGAGAACGUGAGGUUCUGAAAAACCUUAGCAAUAGUUGGGAGACAAUAACAAAACAGUUGACAACACACCUACACGGCUAUUGGUUCUUCUAAGUGUGACCAGAUGCUGAUAAGCUGCAUUAAUAUUCAAACAAAAUGGGCAGAAAAGCAGGCUACUGAACAUGCAAAUCAGAAAAGGGCUUUAACUGGUGGUUUUAUGUGCAGCUCUGCCCUAGACUAUUUAUGUGACUCUGAAGUCCCCUAAUUCUCGAAUGUUUCUAUUCCAUUACAUGGGAAACAGGAUCCAUACAACAACAAAUAUCUGAGUACCUUUGUGCCAAACACAAUUCUAAAUGGUUGAUUAAACAUAUUAUAAUAAAUUAUAUGGUAUGUUAGCAGGUGAUAAAUACUAUAAAAAAAACAGAGAAGAGUAAGGAUGAUUAAGAGUAUAUGUGGGUAUAUAAUAGAAGUGUAGGUUGCAGUAUUCAAAAGGGUAAUUAAGGUAGGCCUCAUAGGUUUAAAAAAAAAAAGACGUACUUAACCAAAGAGGUGAGCAUAUCUACCUAUGUCACCUAACAAGGAUUCUCUCUGGAUAAUGUCCACCAAGUCCUCAAAAAGGAAAAACUGUCACUUUGCUGAGUACCAACUAUAUGCUGAUCCCUGUGCUAGGUACUUCCUUAAUUAAUUAAUUAAUUAAUUAAUUAAAUUUACUCGCUCUGUCGCCCAGGCUGGAGUACAGCGAUGUGACCUCGGCUCACCCCAGCCUCCGCCUCUUGGGUAGCUGUGAUUACAGGCAUGCACUACCGCGCCCAACUAAUUUUUUUUUUUGUAUUUUUUGUAGAGUCGAGGUUUUGUUAUGUUGGCCAGGCUGGUCUCAAACUCCUGGCCUCAAGUGAUCCACCCUCCUCAGCCUCCCAAAGUGCUGGGAUUAUACGCCAGGCUCUAGAUACUUUAUAUAUACCUCAUUUUCUAUAUAAAUUUACGGUAGAAUAUAAAAAUCCCAUUGGUAUUCUCAUUUUCUAAGUAAAAGGUAAAUAUAAAUUUUAUACAAAUUAAUUCAAGGAAAGGCUUCUGAAAAACAAAUAUGAAUAUAUAUGUAUAUACUAUAUGUUUUUAAUUCACAGAACUCUUUUAAAGUUAAAGUAACAAUCAUCUGUUGCAAGAUACAUCAAUUUGAAUUCAUCUAAGGAAAGUCCAUAUAAUAUUAUUUGUAGGCUAAUAAAGACAACUUGAAACUAAUUUGACAAUCUAGCAGCUUAAGUGAAAACACCACUAAUGUUCCCCAAAACAGACAUGAUGCAACCUAAACAUGUCAACAUAACCUCACCAACAAAUCUUACUCAUUUGAUGGGGAGAAUAAUUCUCACUUUUGUUCUCUUUAGAAGAACAAAAAUUAGCUCCUAUAGUUUAGGAAUAUGAAAUAGUCCACCAAUGAAUGGCACUAAAGCUAAUUAAACCUUCAGGUGUUUCUUUGAAAAUGUCCUUGAACGUCUAUGAAACAAGUGAGAUUAAAAAUGACCUUAAAAAUUUAUUUUGGAACUUAAAUUUCUGUUCCUGCUUUGGUGAUUAGGUUUAAAGCAAAGUCCUUACAACUACCCACACUCUCUUCAGAAACGUAAAAGAUUUCCCAAACUACAAUACGUUAAAUGUUUACCUGCAAAUCUCUAACAAAAAUGACCAACAGUGGUCAGUCAAGUUCAGAACUGAACAAUACCUGAGAGCAAGAGACUGAAGACACCAAGGCCAAGUGCUUUUUAAAAACACAGCCUAGGGCCCAGUACGGUGUGUCACACCUGUAAUCCCAGCACUUUGGGAGGCCAAGGCAGGCAGAUCACCUGAGGUCAGGAGUUCAAGACCAGUCUGGCCAACAUGGCGAAACCCUGUCUCUACUAAAAAUACAAAAAUUAGCUGGGUGGUGUUCCCCUGUAAUUCCAGCUAUUCGGGAGGCUAAGGCAGGAGAAUCGCUUGAAGCUGGAAGGUGGAGGGUACAGUGAGCCGAGAUGGUGCUACUGCACUCCAGCCUAGGCAACAGAAAGAGACUCCAUCUCAAAAACAAACAACAACAAUAACAACAACAAACAGCCUGGCCAUGACUGAGCUUCACCUGACUCCUGGCAGAGGGCAGUGGCUGCCAUGCCUUUGUUGUUAUAUGGGGGAAAGAAAGUCAUGAACCACGUGGCCUUUAACACUAUAGGUAACACUCCCAUAAUGUUCACCAUAUUGCUCUUCUAAAACUUCUUCCCCCACCACAUUGCUUUUAACUGAAUUCUUAAAUGUUAACCCAUUCUGUAACUACUCUGACACAAUUAAUGCAUAAAAAGAAUUUCCAUCUGAGUGGCAAUAAUGGGAGAAGUAUCACACAUAGUAAGAAUCCAAGAAUUAUCAGUGCCAUGCUAUCAGUAUGUAGGCUUCAGACAAGGGCAGCUAUAUGGGCAACUGCCUCUAGGCAGGCAAUGGGCUAAGAAUGCCUGGGGCAGUAUUUUGAUGGCUGACAGAGCAAUAACGGAAUCCCCAUGACUCGUGCUACCCUAGGAAGUAAAGUCACUUAAUUAUAAAUGCAGAAAUUAAACUUCACAGGGUGAGAAUAAACAAUUUUAUGUAUAAUGUUAAUUUCUGGAACUAAUGUGUCAGUUCAUGAGAUUUUUCUGAAAAAUGUGAUACAACAGUAAAACAGAAACUAGAAGUAGGGUUAUCAUUUGAACAGAGAGAUUAACAAACCUUUAGAAAACUAAGUUCACUUGUGGAAACUUUCAUCUGUUCUCAUCUUAGGGCCCGUAACUUGCGAUUGCUGCCAGAAGCCCACAGACUGAGGGGCAUAUUUCCUGGUAAUGACUCAAGUAACUAUGGAUGAGUCUAUACAUUCAGUAGCUAUGCUCUUUAGGGUGACUUUUUAAAGGAUCCUUGGAGGAACCAAAUGGUUUAUUUGAAAUAAUCCCACAUCUAUCUAGUCUGAGAAUGUGUCAUUCCUAAAACCUGUGAUGCCUUCUGGUGUGUAAAAUGUUAAAUGAAUUCAGGAAGAUUCUGGCAUAGAUGCUUUUGAUAGGAUGAUGAAUUCUGGCCUCUCAAUACUUAUUUUUCUGGUGAAGGAUGAAUAAAAAAACAAAACUAGAAAAGCUCAAUUCCUCAUAUCAGGUUGAACCACAUGAAAAGGCCAAAUAUCCAAAUAUUUUUGACCUGUAAAAAUGACAAUUUUAUGUGAGUCAAUCUAGUAUAUAAAAACAUUUAAAAACUCCUUUAAAGUAUAGUCAUGCCUUGCGUUAUCGAUGGGGAUACAUUCUGAGAAAUAUAGCCUUAGGCAAUUUCAUUGUUGUGUGAACAUCAGAGUGUACUUACACAAAUCUAGAUGGCAUACCUGCAAUACACCUAAGCUAUAUGGUAUAGCCUACUGCUCCUAGGCUACAAACCUGUACCACGUUACUGUACUGAAUACCUUAGGCAACCGUAACACAAUGGUCUUUGUGUAUCUAAACACCUAAGCAGGUAUGUUUAAAGUAAUAUGUUGUGCUAUGAUGGCUAUGUCACUAGGCAACAGGAAUUUUUCAGUUACAUUAUAAUCUUACGUGACCACUGUCAUAAAUGUGAUCCAUCGUUGACCAAAAUGUCACUAUUCAGUGCAUGACUGCAUUGUGAAAUCUGCGCUCUGCUUCUAAUUAAGGGUUGGGUUUCACUUUUAGGUCAAUAUAUGAGAGUAAGAGGUAUUACAAAUUUGGUUGCUGUUGAGAUGUCUUUAUCUGCCAGUCUGUUCUCUGCAGGUGAUGUUUUCUUUCUGAUAAGAUGUUUUGUCUUUAUUAUUUGUGGCUUUACUAUAAAGUGUGUAGGUAUGAGUUUUAAAAUUUAUCCUGUUUUAGAAUCGCUUGAACCCAGGAGGCAGAGGCUGCAGUGAGCCGAGAUCACACCAUUGCAACUUCAGCCUGGGUAACAGGGCAAGACUCCGUCAAAAAAAAAAAAAAAAAAAAAUCCUGUUUUGCAUAUGUGGAACUUCUUUAACUUAGAUUCAUGUUUUUUUUUUUUGUUUUUUUUUUUCAGUUCUAGAAAAGCCUCUCCUCUAGUGUCUUUCUAGUUAUUUCGUGGUAUCUUACCCUCCAUGUCUCUUAACCACUUGCAGUUUUCAUGUCCUUUGUCGCCCCGUGCUGUAAUCUGAACAGUAUCUUCAGAUCUUCUAGUUCUCUUCUACACUAUCUAAUAUGCUAAUCUAUUCACUGAGUUUUAAAUUUCACCUGUUAUAUUUUAAACUUAUAUUUGAUUAUUUUUCAAGUAUGCCUUGUUGUUUUUGACGGUCACUUUUUGGUUGCUUAUUUUUCCUUUUAAAUAUUAUUUUGUUAAGCAUUAACUUAUUUUAUAAUUCUGUAUCUGAUGAUUUUCCAGUAUCUGAAGUCAGUAUCCGAAGUGUGAGCGUGGGAGGAUGGGGUAACCUAAACCUGCUACUUACAGUUUGUGCUGAAUCUCUUCUAUGGUGGCUUUUUCCAUGCAGAUGCAUGUGUGUGUGGUAGUUUUUGUUUAUAAGCUCAUCAUAUGUUGACAUAAAUCUAUGGAAAUCCCGAGUACCUCCAUUUUCCUGUUUCUGCUAGUGGCUAUGGGGAGCUAACAACUCCAAGGUGCUUUCUAGGAUCCUGAAGUCUCAGCUUUGGCUUCCUCAUCUGGCAGUGGGCAUAAGGGUUUCAUGUUGGCAUUUGACCCUACAGCAAUUUUGACUUCACUACUCCCAACACUCCAGUCUGAAUAGGUUCAUUUAAGUUAAUUAAUGGGUGUGAGGGUAUUGAGAUUUCCCUUAUUUCUUGCAAGCUUGUCAAUGCAUUAAAAAAGGAGGCUUAUUCAAAUUUAAAGAGGAUCUACUUAUAUUACAGUGAUAAGGCACUUCAGAAUAAUUGGUUUGCCAUACAAAAGGAAAUGGAAUUCUUACACAUUUUUGCUCCCAAGGAAUUUUCCUUACUUUGAGUAAGGCCGACUAUGUAUUUAAAAGGAUUUGUUUCAAUAUUUUAUUUACUAAGCAUUUUGGGGUGUUGUACAGUAGGAGGAUUUUCAGAUAACGUACCAUGCCACAUGCUAAAAAUUUCAUAAGGCCUAUUUUGUCUCAAACAUGUUGUUAAACUGUAUCUUUCCUGUUUUACACCUAUGUAGUUUUUCCAUACCUACCUGCAGGAUCUUGCAUUUGUCUGUAUAAAAUUUUAUCUUGUCAGAUUUGGAGAACUGUUCCAGUAUAAUUUAGACAUCUUUCUAGCUCUUAUCAAAUAAUCUACCCCCUCUGUCUAUGACCAGCAUGUUAGACUUCUAUUCCAGCAGUUUUUUAUAUGAGUUUCCUUUGCGAUUACAGAUUAAAGGAUAAUUCCUUUGAGAUUAAAGGAAAGAAUAUUCCUUGGGGGGCAGCCCCCGCCCGGCCGCCACCCCGUCUGGGAGGUGGGGGGCGCCUCUGCCCAGCUGCCCCGUCUGGGAAGUGAAGAGCCCCUCUGCCCGGCCGCCACCCCGUCUGGGAGGUGUACCCAACAGCUCAUUGAGAACGGGCCAUGAUGACGAUGGCAGUUUUGUCGAAUAGAAAAGGGGGAAAUGUGGGGAAAAUAAAGAGAGAUCAGAUUGUUACUGUGUCUGUGUAGAAAGAAGUAGACAUAGGAGACUCCAUUUUGUUCUGUACUAAGAAAAAUUAUACUGCCUUGGGAUGCUGUUAAUCUAUAACCUUACCCCCAUCCCCGUGCUCUCUGAAACAUGUGCUGUGUCCACUAAGGGUUAAAUGGAUUAAGGGCGGUGCAAGAUGUGCUUUGUUAAACAGAUGCUUGAAGGCAGCAUACUUGUUAAGAGUCAUCACCACUCCCUAAUCUCAAGUACCCGGAGACACAAACAAUGCGGAAGGCGGAAGGCGGCAGGGCCUAGGAAAACCGGAGACCUUUGUUCACAUGUUUAUCUGCUGACCUUCCUUCCAUUAUUGUCCUAUAACCCUGCCAAAUCCCCCUCUCCGAGAAACAUCCAAGAAUGAUCAAUAAAUACUAAAAAAAUUAAAA
Long non-coding RNA from Homo sapiens (human), 12468 nucleotides. RefSeq lists it as uncharacterized. The record is from RefSeq and is a predicted model, not a curated record. Lineage: Eukaryota; Metazoa; Chordata; Mammalia; Primates; Hominidae. The transcript is spliced from 2 exons.